Molecule: ribosomal RNA, 750 nt
Filed under: Halomonas sp. M3-2A
Lineage: Bacteria; Pseudomonadati; Pseudomonadota; Gammaproteobacteria; Oceanospirillales; Halomonadaceae
Description: bacterial SSU rRNA
Rfam family: Bacterial small subunit ribosomal RNA
Source: RNAcentral
CCUAACACAUGCAAGUCGAGCGGUAACAGAUCUAGCUUGCUACAUGCUGACGAGCGGCGGACGGGUGAGUAAUGCAUAGGAAUCUGCCCGGUAGUGGGGGAUAACCUGGGGAAACCCAGGCUAAUACCGCAUACGUCCUACGGGAGAAAGGGGGCUUCGGCUCCCGCUAUUGGAUGAGCCUAUGUCGGAUUAGCUAGUUGGUGAGGUAAAGGCUCACCAAGGCAACGAUCCGUAGCUGGUCUGAGAGGAUGAUCAGCCACAUCGGGACUGAGACACGGCCCGAACUCCUACGGGAGGCAGCAGUGGGGAAUAUUGGACAAUGGGGGCAACCCUGAUCCAGCCAUGCCGCGUGUGUGAAGAAGGCCCUCGGGUUGUAAAGCACUUUCAGCGAGGAAGAACGCCUAGUGGUUAAUACCCAUUAGGAAAGACAUCACUCGCAGAAGAAGCACCGGCUAACUCCGUGCCAGCAGCCGCGGUAAUACGGAGGGUGCAAGCGUUAAUCGGAAUUACUGGGCGUAAAGCGCGCGUAGGUGGCUUGAUAAGCCGGUUGUGAAAGCCCCGGGCUCAACCUGGGAACGGCAUCCGGAACUGUCAGGCUAUAGUGCANGAGAGGAAGGUAGAAUUCCCGGUGUAGCGGUGAAAUGCGUAGAGAUCGGGAGGAAUACCAGUGGCAAAGGCGGCCUUCUGGACUGACACUGACACUGAGGUGCGAAAGCGUGGGUAGCAAACAGGAUUAGAUACCCUGGUAGU